UUAAGUUAAUAAGGGCGCACGGUGGAUGCCUUGGCACUAGGAGCCGAAGAAGGACGUGACAAACGACGAUAUGCCUUGGGUAGCUGUAAGUAAGCGAUGAUCCAGGGAUUUCCGAAUGGGGGAACCCAACAGGUACUACCUGUUACCCGCAUCUGUUAAGGAUGUGAGGAGGAAGACGCAGUGAACUGAAACAUCUAAGUAGCUGCAGGAAGAGAAAGCAAAAGCGAUUGCCUUAGUAGCGGCGAGCGAAACGGCAGGAGGGCAAACCGAAGAGUUUACUCUUCGGGGUUGUAGGACUGCAAUGUGGACUCAAAGAUUAUAGAAGAAUGAUUUGGGAAGAUCAGCCAAAGAGAGUAAUAGCCUCGUAUUUAAAAUAGUCUUUGUACCUAGCAGUAUCCUGAGUACGGCGGGACACGUGAAAUCCCGUCGGAAUCUGGGAGGACCAUCUCCCAACCCUAAAUACUCCCUAGUGACCGAUAGUGAACCAGUACCGUGAGGGAAAGGUGAAAAGCACCCCGGGAGGGGAGUGAAAUAGAACCUGAAACCGUGUGCCUACAACAAGUUCGAGCCCGUUAAUGGGUGAGAGCGUGCCUUUUGUAGAAUGAACCGGCGAGUUACGUUAUGAUGCGAGGUUAAGUUGAAGAGACGGAGCCGUAGGGAAACCGAGUCUGAAUAGGGCGAAUUAGUAUUAUGACGUAGACCCGAAACCAUGUGACCUACCCAUGAGCAGGUUGAAGGUGCGGUAAGACGCACUGGAGGACCGAACCAGGGCACGUUGAAAAGUGCUUGGAUGACUUGUGGGUAGCGGAGAAAUUCCAAACGAACUUGGAGAUAGCUGGUUCUCUCCGAAAUAGCUUUAGGGCUAGCGUCGACAUAAAGAUUCUUGGAGGUAGAGCACUGUUUGGGUGAGGGGUCCAUCCCGGAUUACCAAUCUCAGAUAAACUCCGAAUGCCAAUGAAUUAUGGUCGGCAGUCAGACUGCGAGUGCUAAGAUCCGUAGUCGAAAGGGAAACAGCCCAGACCACCAGCUAAGGUCCCAAAAUAAUUGUUAAGUGGAAAAGGAUGUGGGGUUGCACAGACAACUAGGAUGUUAGCUUAGAAGCAGCUAUUCAUUCAAAGAGUGCGUAAUAGCUCACUAGUCGAGUGACCCUGCGCCGAAAAUGUACCGGGGCUAAAACAAUUUACCGAAGCUGUGGAUACCUUUAUAGGUAUGGUAGGAGAGCGUUCUAUGUGUGAUGAAGGUAUACCGUGAGGAGUGCUGGAACGCAUAGAAGUGAGAAUGCCGGUAUGAGUAGCGAAAGACAGGUGAGAAUCCUGUCCACCGUAAGACUAAGGUUUCCAGGGGAAGGCUCGUCCGCCCUGGGUUAGUCGGGACCUAAGGAGAGACCGAAAGGUGUAUCCGAUGGACAACAGGUUGAUAUUCCUGUACUAGAGUAUGUAGUGAUGGAGGGACGCAGUAGGCUAACUAAAGCAGACGAUUGGAAGUGUCUGUCUAAGCAGUGAGGUGUGAACUGAGUCAAAUGCUUAGUUCUAUAACAUUGAGCUGUGAUGGGGAGCGAAGUUUAGUAGCGAAGUUAGUGACGUCACACUGCCAAGAAAAGCUUCUAGCGUUUAAACAUACUCUACCCGUACCGCAAACCGACACAGGUAGUCGAGGCGAGUAGCCUCAGGUGAGCGAGAGAACUCUCGUUAAGGAACUCGGCAAAAUGACCCCGUAACUUCGGGAGAAGGGGUGCUGACUUUACGUCAGCCGCAGUGAAUAGGCCCAAGCAACUGUUUAUCAAAAACACAGCUCUCUGCUAAAUCGUAAGAUGAUGUAUAGGGGGUGACGCCUGCCCGGUGCUGGAAGGUUAAGAGGAGUGCUUAGCGCAAGCGAAGGUAUGAAUUGAAGCCCCAGUAAACGGCGGCCGUAACUAUAACGGUCCUAAGGUAGCGAAAUUCCUUGUCGGG
RNAcentral lists this ribosomal RNA (1949 nucleotides) under Staphylococcus epidermidis. RNAcentral's name for it is "bacterial LSU rRNA". It matches the Rfam family "Bacterial large subunit ribosomal RNA", at positions 3 to 1976 of the family's 2925-position model. Lineage: Bacteria; Bacillati; Bacillota; Bacilli; Caryophanales; Staphylococcaceae. The record is from RNAcentral.